GAAACACUGAACAAUCGCGUACCUGCACACCUCUUCCCAACUCUGCAGUCAGUCUCAUUGUUUUUUUUUAUUUUUUUUUGAGACAGAGCCUCGCUCUGUUACCCAGGCUGGAGUGCAAUGGUGUGAUCUCAGCUCACUGCAUCCUCCGCCUGCUGGGUUCAAGUGAUUCUCCUGCCUCAGCCUCCCAAGUAUCUGGGAUUACAGGUGCCACCAUGCCUGGCUAAUUUUUGUAUUUUUAGUAGAGACAGAAUUUCACCAUGUUGGCCAGGCUGCAUCAUCUUUUAAAUAAUUUUUUUGGUUAGUGAUACCAUCUUGGUAGCUUGAAAUUUGGUCAGAGGGCAGUAUUUACACCAUGGAAAUCAGCAAACGCUGCAAAUCAGGCCCAUCCCCUUUCUGGAGCUGAUUGUUAAACACUUAGGAGCACACCAUUGCCACACACAAGCCAGGAUGCAGGAGCCAGAAUGAAGGGGAUCUGGGAUGGGGACUCAAGGAGGCCAGAGCCCACCCUCAAUGGAGGGAUUCAAGGCUGUGCUUCCCUGGUAGGAUUUACUUCCACCCCAGAAUGCCAGGGUUGAUUUUAGAACUUUAGAAGAGUCUCCUGAGUUAAUCAUGACCCAUUGUUUCCUCGGCAGUCGGAAGGCUCCACCCGCCAUUGUCCACCACCCAUCCCAGCUCCUCAGAGGCUCCUGCAAGACCGGAGUGGGAGGAACCUUGAGGUCAGAGCCUUGGACAGCUGCCCUGUGUGCUGGUGGCUUCUAUUGUGAGCACCCGAGGAUCUUGGAGCUUCCUCAUGGCUGGGCCUCAGAACCCACUGGGGACCAGCCUGUUUAUGCUUAAAAACUUGAGGCUCUCUGGAACUGAUGACUAUGAAGGUACCAGUUGCUGCUGUAACAGGAGGUCCUGGGACUUGUUGCCAGUCGGUGGGUGUUGCACAGGGAGCCACCCAGACUCUUCUGCCUGGGUAAACAUGCUCCAGAUACCUCCUUUGGGUCAGGGCAGUGACCAGUGUGGACAGAACCCAACCCUUGGCCCACACAGGCUAUCCUCUGAGCUCCCUCCUGAGGCCACAGUCCCCGGCAGUGGUUUGAGGCAGGGCUACUCUGCCCGGACGACCUUAGCCACACGCAGCUCCCCGAUCCCUGGCUCUGAAGGGUCUCACCUUCCCUGUUUCCCAUCAGCCCUUCAGCAUCCAUGAAAUAUUAGGAAAAUGGGCUGAGUAUUAGGUAAUGACUGUCCAAUUUAUUCUGACAGCAAGAACCAGAGGGAGGAAAUUGACAUUGGUGAUUUUACUUAGGACCUGACAACUUUAAUUAAUCUUCACUCCUUUUCUAGGGAGCGGGGGGCCUCUGACAGCUGUGCAGAGCUCAGGUGGAGGCCUCGCAUGUGCUGGCCGCUCCUCAGCUGUGUGGACCAGGCAGGCAAGCGUGAUCACGUCCAGGGUCCUCUGGCACCUCUCUGGAGGGUGCACCAUCAUUUCCCCUGUUCUGGGAAGAAGCAGUCGAGGUUCCAUGAGAGUAAGUGAGUUUGCCAAGGCCACUGUUAAAUGGCAGAACUGGAAUUCAAGGCCAGUUUUAUCUGUGUCCUCAGCUGACCAUUCCACCACGUGGCCCCAGGGAAGUGCCCUGGCUUGCUCUGACAGUCCCACUAGAUACAAUCUAAUCCCAUGCCUUGGUUCGUUCAUCCCUGCUCUGACAAACAGAAUCCUGGGGAUCCCAUGGCAGGUGACACAAAGUCAGCCACACUCUCAAGCCCCCUGCUGCCUGGACAAGCAGGUAGCCCCGUCUCUAACUCCAGGAGGCUGGCCAGAAGCCCCUGCGUACCUAUAUAAUUAGGAACGUCCUCCAGGGUGUGUGACUCCUCCUCCAGCUAUGUGGGGUGCAUACAGGGAGGGUGAGGGGCAGAACCCUCCUGCCAGGUCCACGCUAAUUUCAGAUGCUCUCCAAAGCCUCUUAUAAUUCACAGGCUUGGGACAGAUCCAGGGGAUGACAAACUAAUUGGAUGCAUGCUGCACAUGUCCCCUCCCUGUUGGGCCCCUUCACUGGUCUUAUGAGCCUCAGUGUCCCCCCAUGAAAUGUGGACAUUUGCAUCCACCACAUAAGGAUGUCUUAUGGCUCUAAUGACAAGGAGGAUGCUUCAUCCUGUGCACUCCAUAUAUGCAUAAUCAGCUCUACUAACAAAACGCAGACUUCCUUCCUUCCUUCCUUCCUUCCUUCCUCCCUCCCUCCCUCCCUCC
Long non-coding RNA from Macaca mulatta (Rhesus monkey), 2233 nucleotides. NCBI's taxonomy places the organism in Eukaryota, Metazoa, Chordata, Mammalia, Primates, Cercopithecidae. The record is from Ensembl.